Molecule: long non-coding RNA, 16338 nt
Filed under: Theobroma cacao (cacao)
Lineage: Eukaryota; Viridiplantae; Streptophyta; Magnoliopsida; Malvales; Malvaceae
Description: long non-coding RNA (TCAC_LNC005292)
Source: RNAcentral
GGAGUUCCGGGUCGUGACACCUUUCAACUGAUUAAUUCUCCUUUUAACUGAUUGAAGUUUUUCUCUAUUCAUCCUUAACUGAUUAAAAUGGGCUUCAACCAAUUGAGAAUUUUUCAACUUUAAAUCUUUUGGUUUGGUGUCUUGGACGGUCAAUAAUAUUUUGAAUGUGAAUUUUGGCGCUUCUUGAUACUUUAACUUUGACCUUUAACUAGUUAACUUCUUUCCUUUAAUUAAUUAAAAAGCUUCUGUUUUGCAUCCAAUACCCACUUAACUAAUUAAACAUUGUGUUAACCAGUUAAGACCUUUUUGUCUAUCUUUAGUGUAGCGCCUAGAAUUGCUUUAAUUGAUUGAGGAUUGUGUCAAUCAGUUAAGACUAAUCUAUUUUCAUUAAAGCCCUCUUUUAUUUGCUUGUUUAACUAAUUAACCCAUUUUGCAACUGAACCAGCAUCUUAACUUGCUUUCAAAUACCAAAUUCAUUAAUAAAUUUAAGCUUUCUCCUGCACACAUAAAUAAUAUAAUCAAACAUAAAUGACUGAAAAUGUUUUAUUAUGAUCAAAAACAUAUGAAGUCAACAUUAUCUUUCUCUUAUUUUUGAUAGUUACGAAACACUCCUAGAUUAAGAGUGCAAUGUUUAUGUUCAAUAUGAAUGCUUCAAAUCUUUGUGCAUAAUCAAGAUUGCUCCCCCUUAGUUAAUGCAUCUUUUUUUUUUAAAAGAUUUGCAAUAAAAUAUUUAUGAUAUCCUCAGCAACUAAACAAGAUAUACAAUAUCCACAGUAGCUAAGCAAAAUAUUUUGAAUAUCCAUAAUAGCUAGCACAUAAUAUUCAACAAAAUUAUAAUUAAGCAUCACACACAUAAAUUAAACAUACAGACCUAUCAAACUAUAUUUAACGUAGUCUUCCUUCUUUCUUUUUUUGUCAUCAUUAAAAAGGAUAUUCAAAACUUCCCCUUAAUGAGUGCAUCUAGAUUUUCCUUUAAUCUUUAAAUCAAACUUUAAUGAAUGGGAAUCUUAAGCAUUCAUAUACCUAAGUCACACAAGCUUAUAGAUAUAGUUCAAUUACUUCAAGAAUCAAGCUUGUAACUAUAUAAAAACAAAUGUACGUGAGUUAAAUCAUUUCAAGAACCUGUCAAGUAUCACUCAAAUAAUGUUCAAGCAAAUAUGAUCAUUUUAUCAUAAUCAAAACUAUAUUAAUUUUAAAGCUAAAAAAGGAUGAUUUUGUCAAUGACAAUAAAAAAAACAAGGCUUCCUCCCGUACUCCAAGAUGAAACUUUUUUCAUGUUCCAUGCAAUAUGGACACGAUAAAUGUCCAAAACUGCUCCACCUGGACAACACACCAUAUGCAGGAAUGUCAUUAAUAGUCCAUAUGAGUGUUAUCCGUAGAAUAAAAUUUUUGGGAUUAAACGCAUUAUACAAUACCACCCAUUUGUCCCACAGAACUUUUAACUUAUUUAUCAAUGGUCAGAGGAACACAUCAAUGUUUUGUCCUAAAUUUGUCCUUCCCGGGAUGACCAUACUACGAAAGAUGUAUGAUUACUUCAUGCACAUCCACAGAGGUAAGUUAUCAAUAAUGAGCAUUACCAACCAAACAAAAUACGGGUUCGCUCUUGGCCCAAAUGGAUUGAAACCACCUGAACAUAAAUUGAGUGUGACACUAUGAAACUCUAAGGCAAAAGAUUGAUGGCUCCAAUUAAAAUGUUGCCAAGCCUCACCAUCACAAGAUGCCUAAGCACUCCACCAUUAGAUUGGUGUGUGGCAUGUCGUGUCAUGUGUUCAACAAUUUUGUUUGACAUAUAUUGCCUUUGCAAUCUCAAUGUCAAUGGAAAGUAUAGCAAAAUCUUAAAAGGAAUUUUUUUCUCCUUUCCUCACCUUGAAUUAUUUAGUUUAUAAUGGGAAUGACCACAACAUGGACAAUAAGACAACUCAAAAUAUUCAUUAUAAAACAAAAUGCAAUUAUUCUUACAUACACGAAUUUUCUUAUAGCUAAGCCCAAGUUCUUUCAAGUGUAUCUUCAUUUUAUAAAAGUUUUCCAAUAAUGAUUCAUCCGAUGGCAACAUUUCAUUCACUAGAUGUAUUAGACGAUUAAAGCAUGCUUCAUUCAUGUUAAACUUUGACUUUACAUUUGGUAAUUGGGACAUAGCUAACAGUUUUGUGUGCUUAUCGCAUCCGACCACAAAGCUACACCGGCAUCAUUUAACAACAAAAAGAAGGAUGCAGUGUUCGAAUUUGGAUCUUCAAGAAAGACUAAUUCAUCUCGGGUCUCAUCAUUGAAUUGAAACUCCAGUCGUAAAGCAUCCAUAACCAUUUUAGCAAAUAGAUUUUUUAUUUUAACUUCACUAACUAUGUAACACUCGACCCUAAAUUAUCUAUGAUAUAUCAUUCACUUGCUUUGGAUAGCAUGUUUGUCUAUUGAAUUGCCCCGAAAAACAAGUUAAAUGAUUGUAUUGCCCCUAAUGGUACGGUUUAGUUAAAUAAGUCUUGAACUAAUUUAAACAGAGAAUCGAGGAUGAAUUUGAGAAAACUAAAACCCAUGGAUUGAUUUAAAAUGAGGAUUCAGAGUUUGAGGUCCGAUUUGGAGUUAAUCCGGACUUUAAGUAUUCCAAAGACAAAAUGGUAAUUUGCCACUUGAGGAUGAAUAUGAAAUUUUCAAAAAAAAAAAUUUUUUUUUAAUCCCAUUUGAUUAAGAUUGAUUAUAUUAGACUUAUUGGAGUAUAAUUUGAGGGUUUGGCAGUGAAAAAGUUUAAUUUCGGUGAUUUCUAGAGUGUAGGGGCAAAAUUAUAAUUUUGCCACCCAUGGACAAAAUUUGAGAUUUUGAGAGAAUUUAGAUCAAAUUUGACAAAUUGGAGAAUGGCAUGAGUAUAAGGGAUGGAAAAAUAUGUCUAUGGGCAAUUUUUCAGUUUUUGAGGUAAAAAUGUAAUUUUUGACUUUUACGGGAGUAAAAGUGUAAAUUUUAAAAAUUACUCCACCAAGACUUUGGAUAAGUCUGAGAAUUUUAUCUAAGCUAUGGAUAUGUGGGACAAGUGUAUGGUGAAAAUUUGGAAACAAAUGGAUGGCUAGAAUUUAAGGAAUUAAUAAAACAUAAAAAAAAUGAAUAAAAUAAUAUUAUAUUAUUUUAGCCUUUAAAAAUGUCAAAAUUUCCAAAAUUCUCAUCUUCUUCAAGCCAUCCAAACCAGGAGAGAAAGAGGGAAAAGAAAUAAGAACCCUAGCUGAAACAUUUGGGGAAAAUCAAGAGAAAUCAAGAAAUCAAGCAUUAAAAAGGUAAAUUUCAUUGAUUUUCCUUGUGAUUUUCACUACCCAUGCAUUUUUUCUCAUUUCCAUGCAAAAUUAGAAAGUGGGUAUGGACACCCAUGCUGGCCAAACCUCCAUGGAUGAGUUUUGAGUUUGAGUUUUGGUUGAUUUUAAUUGAAUUAAGUGAUUUUUGUUAGGUUAUAUUGAAAUAUAGCAAAAAUAAGCUAGAGAAAUAAUUUUCUCCCAUUGAAACCCAUUAUGCCGAAUUUUCUAGGGGAAUAUUGGCUGCUGAUCUUGAUGUUUAUUUGAGGAAUUAUGAUGAAUAAUGAUGAAUUAUGAGCCUAGAAAACUAAUGGGAAUUUUUAGAGCAAAAAUAUAAAUUUUUACCCACUAGGGGUAUUUUUAUAAUUUGCUAUCGGGACUGAUAAUUUGCACCACACUGAGGGACAUUAAGUCAAUUUGGGUGUAAUUGAGGUAUAAAAACUGAAAAAAAUUAAUUUGGAGUUUAAACAGACGCGUAUAUCGAUUUAUCAGGUAAAAGAUCGAAAUAGGCUAACACCGUGUUUAGGCAAAAUUUAGACAUUUUGCUCUUCAUAUCAUGCAUUAGUAGUAUAAAUUAGUUUAUUUUGGUUUAGUACCAAAGUAGUAAACCUCUUAAUUGUGCAAUUUGUCAAGGUGGCGAAUCCUCUAGCAAGGGCAAAGAAAUCGCACCCGAUGAGUAAUAGUUGGAGUACCCGAAUUUAGUUUUCAAAAACUGUGAGUAAACUUAUUAUCGUCUUAAUUAUCUAGAGUAGUUUUAUACAAUUGUGUGAUUUUAUAGAAAAUGGGUUUAAAUGGUAUAUUACUGUGUUUUAGGAGAAAUUGUGAUUUUAUAAAAUGAUUUUAUAGAUUUUCUGGAAAAUUGAAUACUAGUUUUGAAAAUAGAAUGAUUGAAAACUACCCGCUUGUGUUAUAAAUUGUGUUUUAAAUUAUAUGGCUUAUAGCAAUAUGUGAGCAUGAAUGGCAAAGUCUGUAUUUGUAUCAAAAUUAUAUAUACUAUGUAUUCAGCCUUGAGAGGCUAGAUUUCGAUAAAUUGUCAUGUCAUUCAUAUAAGGAUUUUAUAAAUCAAGUGGUAGAUAAAAUAAAGAUUAGCUACUGCAGUGGCGGGGUUCCGUGGACCAGCCUAUUAGAGGGGCAUGAUAAACUCCUUUAUAUUCUCACCUCGAUCGUAAAGGCGCGUAGGGUAUCUCCUGAGAUGGGCUUUUUGAGUGCACUUCACGUGGACCACCACGUGAGAGUGAGACUCAGCCAACACCAAGGCAUGGCUAGAAUUUUUGAUGUAAAGACAUUUAACAGCCUUGGUGGACUCGGUCAGAUGCCUAGGUCAAGGCAUCCCCGGGAAUGAUUUUGGCAGGAGCCAAGUUUUGUGAGAUAUAUAAGCCAUGUUGAUUAAUUGAGUAAACUGAAUAUUCAUGUUAUGAAACAUAUAUUGGAAAAGAAUAUUUUAAUUUGUUUCCAUUUACUCACCUUUAGAUGGUUUAGAUGGUAUCUGUUUACUCACUGGGAUUAUGUAAUCAUAAUCUCACCCCUUUUCCUAUCCAUUUUGCAGGCUCAGGAUAGUUUGUUGAUAGUUGAUUAAGACGAGAAUUAAUCUUGGAGUUGCAUCGUAGAAAGUAAGAGUUCGUAGCCCUACACCUUCUUAGUCAGUUAGGAGCCCACGUGUUAUUGUAAAAGAAAUUUUAUACUUCAGUUAUCUGCUUUAAAGUACAUAUGAAUAUAUUUAGCUUUUACACUACAGAAAUAAAUUACGAAUUUCUCUAUAAAUAUUAUUAUAUUUUUAUUUAGAAAAUAGAAUAUUUUAUUAAAUAUUAUUAUUUUAUUCAAACAAUUAUAAUUUCAUUUCAAAUAAUUAUUUUAGACAUCUAAAUUUACUUUUAAUUAUGAAAUAUGUGUUUUUCGCCCACACACUAUGUUUUUGGUGGGUUUUGGUAUUUUCGAAGAAAAAUGACGAAAAUGUCCCUGUGAGCCAGAAAAUAAUAUUUUAUUGUUUUGAUUUGAAAACGACUAUUGAUUUCUUGAAACGUGAGAUUUAAUAAUUGUCGCUCACCGGGGAGAUACAGAAGCUGAUACGAGAGCCUUGCGAGGUUUCGAUUGGCAUUCAGGGUGAAAAAUGUCUGUCGAGGUUUUGCGACGGUUGUCACGAGCUCAAUGGGAGUUUCGAGUUGUGACAAACUACUUCAUUCUAGUCACCAAUAAAAUGUCCCAAUGAUUGGGUGACAUGGAAUGAUUCACCAUAUGUACCCCAUAUUGUGUACACAUCAGUAAACCUUUUUCAAAAUAAGUAUUCUUGAACCUUCAACAACCAACAAUUUGCUAUUCAUACACUGAGAGCAAGAACAUCUAAUCUUAUUCUCAAUCACAUAUCUUGAUUGACUGAACGCAAAUGAAAUAAAUUCAUCUACGCCAUUCAGAAAUUAUGUCCCAAGAAAUCCACUCGAAUCGACUUGAGAAUACAUCCAACUCCUAUCUCGUUCCAUUUUAAGAUAAAAUAUUAUAACGGACAUAUUAUAUUGUCUAUUAGUAGAUGUUAACACAAACAACAAUUGAAAACAAAAACCAACUUAAAUACUAGAAUUAAUGAAUUGCUUAAUUACUAAAACAUUUUUUUCAUAAUUAAUUUUAAAGUUUACUAAAUUUACUAAUACAUUUGGAAUAGAUUAAUUACUAAUACAUGAUUUUUCAUAAUUAGGUAAAUUAUGUAAUUAAUUCAGUAACCCCUUAAUUAAAAAACCCUAAAUAAAAUAUUAUAUAAUAUUACUAAAUUAAUUAAUUGCUUAAAUACUUAUAAUACAUUACAUACCUUAAUUGACUAAAUUAUUUCAUUAACUAAUUUAACACCUUCAUUUAUUCAAAUAUUUUUAAAAUUAAAUAAUAUUACUAAUUUAGUUAAUUGCUUAAUGAUUAAAAUUUUUUUCAUUUGAUUAGUUAAAUUAUAUAAUUAUAAACCCUAAACCUUAAUUAAUUUAAAUACUUUUAAUUUUUAUUAAAUUAACUAAUACAUUUAGAAUUGAUUAAUUACUAAUACAUGAUUCUUCAUAAUUAGGUAAAUUAUGUAAUUAAUUCACUAAACCCCUUAAUUAAAAAACCAUAAAUAAAAUAUUAUAUAAUAUUACUAAUUUAAUUAAUUUCUUAAAUACUUAUAACACAUUACAUACCUUAAUUAACUAAAUUAUUUAAUUAACUCAUUUAACACCUUCAUUUAUUUAUAUAUUUUUAAAAUUAAAUAAUAUUACUAAUUUAGUUAAUUUUCAUUUGAUUAGUUAAAUUAUAUAAUUAUAAACCUUAAACCUUAAUAAUUUAUAUACUUUUAAAUUUUACUAAAUUUAUUAAUAUAUUUGAAUUGAUUAAUUACUAAUACAUGAUCCUCAUAAUUAGGUAAAUUAUGUAAUUAAUUAACUAAACCCCUUAAUUAAAAAACCUAAAUAAAAUAUUAUAUAAUAUUACUAAUUUAAAUAAUUGCUUAAAAUCUUAUAACACAUUACAUACCUUAAUUAAUUAAAUUAUUUCAUUAACUCAUUUAACACCUUCAUUUAUUUAUAUUAGUUAAAGUUUUUAUUAAUUCCCUAAACACUUAAUUAAAUUUAAAUAAAUAAAAUAUUAUAUAAAUAUUAAUCAUUUAAUUUAUUGCUUAAUUACUUAUAAUACAUUACAUUACUUAAUUAACUUAAUUAUUUAAUUAACUCAUUAACACCUUAAUUAAUUUAAAUAUUUUUUAAUUUAAAUAAUAUUACUAAUUUAAACAUUUUUGCAUUUGCUUAAUUCAAUUUGAUUACUAAACAUUAAUUCCAUUAAUUUAGAUAUUCGCUUAUUUACUAAACUUUGCUUAAUUACUAGCUUACUAAAGUUCACUUAAUUAAUUACUAAAAAUUAGUUACUAAUUUUUAAUAAACAACUAAUUAAACCUAAACCAAAGUUUUUUCAAUUUGAUUUUCUCAACCAACACCUAAACACCUAAACUCUGCUAGCAGCUAAAUACCUAAAUGCCAACAGCCAAAAGCCAAAUCAAGCAAAUUUUGCUUGAAACCGCUACACACAGCAACAAAUUCAAACACAUACACAACAAAUCAAACAUAAUGCCAACAACAAAUCAUAAUUCUAACAAGAAUAAUGCUUAAAAUUUCAGCUUUAAAUUCAAGCAACAAAUGAUAAUCUAGCAACAUUCACAAUUUAACAUGUUCAAAACCCUAAACUUUAAAACAAAAAAACCUUAAACCUAAACAGAAGAAAGCUAACCUUAGGUUUAGGGUAAACUCAACCGAAGAAGGAAAUGGAGAAUGUAGGUCAGACAAAGCUUUAACAAAGGUCGAGGGUGGGCGGACAGGAGAUGGAGAAUGAAGGAAAUGAAAGGGACUUGAAUGAUUACGAUGGCAUGGUCAGACUGACGUACAGCUGGGUUAGUCGUUGAUAAGGGUGCGAUUAGGUCCGGUGGCACGAUCAGGCGAUAAAGUGUCAAGGAGAUAGAGAAGAAAAGGGAAAAGGGAAAAGGGAGAAAGGAGAAAUUGGGGGAAAAGGUCCACAACAAAGAUUUUAAUUUACCUUAUCAACGUUUUAAUUAAUUAUAAAAGUUUAUUUGAUUUAAAAGUAAAAAUAUAAAAAUUUAAUUAAAUGUAAUAACAAAUAAAAAAUUAUUUAAACUUUCUUGAAUAAUUCAGGAAGUUUUUAAAGCAUUAUGUCUUGUUCAUUCUAAGCUCUGAAGAAUAUUAGAUAUUAAUCUCAAAUGUUUCUAUGUAUAGAUUUAAUUUAAUUUAAAUCAUAUUUUUCUUACAUAUAUUAGUUAAUUGUUUUAUUUACCGGAUAUAUUAUUAUUGAUGUCAUAUACAUAAAGAAUUGUUUAACUGUACAUAUACAUGUAAUUUUACAAGAAGAAAAAUUCAUACUAAAAGUUUUUGCAUCACCUGUAAUCUUUUCGUUUUUUUCUGUUUACCAUUUUUCAGUCUUUGUUCAACGUGCCAAAAUCAUGUGUAGAUUUAUAAAUAGAAAUUUAUGAAAGGAGCGAAAAGUAAUUUUAAUUAUGUAAUUUAAAAUUUUCAUGUGCGCAAUAAAAUAAAUUAAUUAAAAAAGGAAGAUGGAAUGAGUAGUAUUCUAAAAACCACGCGAGAUAUUAGGAAAAGUGAGCCAGCAGGCUGGCUAUGCGUUGGGUACUCGGCGGUGUAAUUAAUAUAUUAUUUUCCCCACUUGAUUAGUUUUGUUGACUCUGACCUGCGGAAGUAUUAGGUAUACACGUCCUCACGAUAACUGCAGGUAGAGAAGACCAAGUUUUAUAUUAUUAUUAUUAUUAUUAUUCUGUUAAGGUUUUCAGUACAUUCCUAACUUGCUUUAUUAUUAUUCUUAUUCUUAUUACAAUGGCAGUAAACUUUUCAACAAAGUAAGAUAAGCAAGAAUAUUAUUAUUAUUGGAGCAUCUUUGUAAUGUCAGCAAACUUUCUUCAAUAUUUCCAAUUCAACUCUUCUGCUUUGCUUUUGGAUACAUAUCAUCACCUUUCGGCAACCAUGGUCAGGUAAAAGUAUAUUUUAAUUCCUGUGCUCGAUCCCCAAUCCAAAUUAAAUUAUCAUUCGCUUUCAUAAAAAAAAAACAAAUACAAACAUUUUUUAAAAUAUAUUUAAAAAUUAAAAAGUCCAAUUUAUGUUUUGGCAUGAAGCAUGAGUGUGAAAAUUCAACCAUUAAAUUAUAAUUGAUUGUAAAUAAAUUAUUUAAAUUAUCAACUUAUUCAUUUUUUAAUUAAUUUAAUCCUUUCAUUGUUGUCUUUAAAAAUAAAAGUCAAUGUUUUACAGUAAUUAUCUUUAUUUUAUUAUGGUUUAUAAUGUUGUUCAAUUUAAGAUUUUUUUUUCAUAAAUAACAUAUUUUAAGAAAAAGGGGAUUACCCUAGGAAGGGAGUGCACGAUUCCAGUUUAUAAAGAAGAACAAGAUAAAUUAUAGGUUUAGUUUUAAUUUUACCCCCUUUUACUCACCUCCAAAACUAAUUGGCUAUAAAAUUCAAACCAAAAAGUCAAAUCUUUAUGUAUGUAAAUGGCUCAUAUAGGAAAUCUUAAAUUUUAUGAUAAGUAGGACAAUAUAGGGGUGAGUAAAAUCAAUCAAGAUCAAUUAUCUAUCCAAACCAAAUGCGAUUUGGGUAAAAUGGUUUGGUCUAAUUGGUUCAUUAAAUUAAUUGGUUCAAAAUGUUUGGUCCAAUUGAUUUUUGAUCGGUUCUCAAUUUAAAAUUUUUAGACUAAUCUACCCGAAAAACCAAACUAAUUUUUUAUAUAUUUAAAUAUAUAUAUUAAUAUAUAAAAUAUUUUUUAUAUAUAUUAAGAAGAAUUGAGAGUAAGAUUAAUUAAAAAUAUACUUAAAAUAUAUUACGGUAUUAUACAUACAUCUACAAAUUAUAAUCAUAGUAAUUUAAUAUUAGUUAUAUAUAUUUAUUUACUUAUAAAUCUGUAUUAAUAUGAAAUUGUAAAUUCUAUAUUUUAAAUAAUAUAAGUUAUAUGUUAAUAUUAUAAUAUAUAAUAGUAAAUAUCUUACAUAUUAAUAUAUUAUAAUUAUUACAUCUUAGUAAAAUUUCAUAAUAAAAUGUUAUGAAUAUAUAUAAUUAUAUAAAUAUAUUAUAUAUACAUAUAUUUAAUUUAUAGAUAAGCAUUACUAUAAUUUAUAAUAGACUUUAUUUAUAUGAUUACACUUAAUAACUUUAUUAGUUAUCACAUUAGAUUUUAUAACAUAUUGUUUAUAAUUAGUUAUUAUUUAUACAAACUUUGAUAUAAAACAUUUUAACAUAUAAUUUGUAUCAUUAAUUAUAUAUAAUAAAGUAAUAUAUUAUAUAUAUACAUAUAUUUAAUUUAUACAUAAGCAUUACUAUAACUUCUAAUAAAUUUUAUUUAUAUGAUUANAUAUAAUAUACAUAUAUUUAAUUUAUACAUAAGCAUUACUAUAACUUCUAAUAAAUUUUAUUUAUAUGAUUAGCUUAAUAAGUUUAUCAGCCAUCAUCUUAGAUUUUAUAACAUAUUGUUUAUAAUUAGUUAUUUUUUAUACAAACUUUGAUAUAAAACAUUUUAACAUAUAAGUUAUAUCAUUAAUUUCAUAUAUAUAUAUAACUAUGAAUGAAGUUUAUAAGUUUAAUAUUAUAAUUUGUAAAAAAAUGAUAAAAUUUUGGUUCAUUGGUCCAAAACCGGAUCAACCAAAUCAAUGCUAUAUUUGAUCGGUUUGGUUUUCCUUUAUAUUUGGUUGGUUUUGGUUGGUUUUUUUUUAAAUUCAUUGGUCCAUUUGGUCUUUAGGUAUGGUAGACCAAACCAUCCAAUUCACCCAUUUGCUCACCCCUAAGACUAUAAACACUAUAUAAAGAUAAGGUUAGGUCUCCUCUCAUGUUUAAAGAAAACAUUGAAAAUUUCAACUAUUGGAGAGUUGUCGAUUAAGGAGGAAGAAGAUCCUAGUGCAAUGAAACUUGAUAAUUAACCUAGUUAGUUUUGUUAUAAUAAUGUAUGUUUUUGGAUUUUAAAUUUCUAUUAUGGUAAAUCCUGGGUUAAGUAGAAAUUAAUUAUACAUAAAGUUUAACAAUUAGUAUAAAAGAGAUCAUAGUUUGGAUUUAGAAUCCUAUAAAACUAUAAUUAACUGUUGAUGUAUGUUACUUACAUAAAUUAGUUAUGAAUGCAUAUAUAUUUGGCCGUGCGUGAUUUUUAAAUUUGUGUAAUUACACCUUUAAAAAUUCAUAAUUUCCUUAUAAAUGGUGCAAUUAAAUCUAGAGCACACUUAAUUAUAUUAUUAAUCAUAUGAUUAUUUUGUAGAAUUAUAUUUGUGUAAUUGAAUGAAAUCAUGUUUAAGAAAUUAGUUUUUUCGAAGGCUAUAGAUUUUAAUACUUUUAAGUCUAGAACAUUUCGAUUUUAUGUAAAUUUUUUUGGAAAGGCAUUUCAUAUAGAUUUUUUAAAAAUACUUUGGAGUUAUUUGUUUCUUAAUGAGUUAAGAUUGUUGUUGAAGUCAUAAAGCUUAAUUAAACCCAUCGAUUCAUAAAAUCGAGCAUUGUUGUUUUUUGUAUAUGAUAUCUGCCACUAUGGGUCUUCGGCUUUGGCUUUGAUUUGUUUAAAUUUGUUGAAAUUGAUGGGUGCUAAUUCAAAUUAACAUAAGGAAAUAAGGUCAAAGAUGUUUGCUUCAAUUUUACGGAGAAAAAUGGCUUAAAGAGAAGGAAAUAUAACACAAAAUUGAGCCUUAAUGAAGAAGUUCAAGUUCCUAAAAGAAUGACUAUUCCAUACUAAAAAAGAAACUAGAUAAAAGAAGAACUAUUAGGUAAGAAUAGAACAUUCCCCUCAACCGAAUGAGCCAUACAUGUUUAACAUGUCCUUUAGAAUCAUAUCUUUAUGAUACACCGAAAUUGAGAUUCAUAUUCGUGAGAAUAUUGAGACUUAAUAAUUUCUAUACCUUUAUAGACAGACACUGUGGUACAUAAACAAAUUGCAGAACCUAAACAAGUUUAACUAAUUCUUGAUGAGGUCCCUCAACAUUAAAAUAUGAUAAAAGAGAUGCCACAAAGAAAAUCCACAAAGGUCACAUGAACACUAUUUUGUCUAAGCAUGAUUUAAUUAGGUGAAAGUAAAUGUUAAGAGGCUUGAUUGCUAGCAAUUAAAAAAAAGAGUUUAAUUCAUAAAUUUAAUUAAGUACAUGGUUUCUUUUUUUGGAUAUAUUGGCCAUCAUUAAUGUGGUUAUACCUGUUUUACAAACUUUAGAAUUAAAUCCCCUCUUUAUAAGUCAUCAAAGGUCGUCAAAACAAAGUUCCAAAGCCAACCAUCAUUGACUAAAUAUCCAAAAAGGAAUUAUGGUCGGUGGAAUGGUGUCUGCUAUCACUAUUUAUUGUUACUUUGCAUAUUUUUAUCAUGGGCUAAAAAUAAUUAUUGCUAAGUACUACAUCUACAUUUAUUAAUUUAAUUGUUGUCACUUUAAAAGUUUUGGCUUAAGAACUUUUCCGCAUUUAUUUUUAAAAAAUUUGAAAGGGUUAAUAGCUAGCACUUUUUUACUCUAUUUAUAUCAAGUGUUAAUUAAUUAUUAAUAGCAGAAUUUGUUACUUUUAAGUAAAAAAAUAAUUAGUGUUGGUGAUGUUUAUAUAUUUUUGUUAAAGGAAAUUGUGAGAAAUGACCUUCGUGAAAAGAUCACUUCAGAAAUAACCUUCAGUAUAAUAUUAACUAUUUUUAGACCAUUUUUGACAAGACUUGAUAAGAAUACUCUUUAAACCAUCUAAUCCAAGUUAAGUGGUCUCGGUUUCUUUCUCCUCUCCCGCCAUUCAUAUAAAAAUUUCAAAAUUAAAUCUUGAUUUAGCUAUCCUUCCGUCCAGUUCUCCAAGGCCAUCUAGGUAUAUAUCUCGCCGUCUAGCUCUCCAAUGCCAUCGAGGUCUAUAUUGCCAUCCAACUUUCUCAGGAUCCCAAAGUUGCAGAGAUGACAUCAAAGUAUUUGUUAUGGGUUUUUGGGUUUAUUUAGGGUUAUUCAUAGAACGUCAAAGUUGAUGGGUAAAUUAUAUGAGUUUGAAAACUUAAAUCUGGCUGGGAGUAGCGAAAUCAAUCAAUUUAUAGGCGAUGCGUGAAUAUUUGUUAGGCAUUGCGUCACUGGAUAUUAGGGUGCGUGACUAGAUAUUAGGAAUGGUAACUUGUUUAUUUGGCAUUACGUGACUGAAUAUUUGUUGAGCAUUGCGUGACUUGUUUGUAGGCAUUGCGUGACUUUAUCUACCUAAUGCUUAAGGUAAUUUUUCAAAAAUUUUAUUUUUUUAAAAAAUGCUACUUUUUAUCAAGAAUUUUUCGAAAAAUGAUGUUUGGCCUGCCUUUUGCUUUUAAGAGGUAAAUAAGUUGAACAAAAGUCAAGCCGAACAGGUACUUAAUGUCAAACCCUAUUCUAUAAAAUAAUUACAACGUCAUUUACAUGCUCAAUAGAAUGUUUGCAUAUUUAGGAAGUUUGAAGAAUUGUUAAAAGACGAUAUUGCCCUUAAUGGAACCAUUAAGUCGAUUAAGCCUCGAACUAAUUCAAAUAGGAAUUUUAAGGUGAAAUUAAGAGUUUCACAGUUCAGGGAUGACUCAAAAUGGUAAUUCGGAGUUCGAGGAUCAAUUUGGAGUCAAACUGAAAUUUUCACUAUCUAGGGGCAAAAUGGUCAUUUGCCACUUGGGGACAAAAUGGAAAUUUUUAGAAAAGAUUUUUUUUGGCCCCAUUUGACUUAUUGGAGUAUUAUUUGAGUAUUGGAGUAUGAUUUGAAGUUUAGAAGUGAAAAAUUUUAAUUUCGGUAUAAUUUGGAGUAUAGGGGAGAAAUGGUAAUUUUACCACCCAAGGGGCAAAUCGGUAAAUUUUCACCCCCGACACUUGUCAAGACCAAGGGAUUUUAUUCAUCAUGGAAAUGGAUAAACAUGAGAAAAGUGUGGUGGAGAAUUAAUGAAUUAAAAGUCAAAUAUUUAAAAUUUCAACCAAUAAGGAAAUGCCAUGUGUCAUGUUUUUAUUAUUUUAUUAUUUCUUUAUAAAAAGGUAAAAAAUCAGCCCAUUUCUCCCAUAGUGAUCAGCCAAACCAGAAGAGAAGAGAAACCAAGGAAGAACAAACCCUAGGUGGGAAAAAUCAAAGAGAAAGUGUUGGAAUUCAAGGAUUUGAUCAAGCAAAGGUAAAAUUUCUUUGAUUUUACUAAUGAUUUACCUUACCCAUGCAUUUUCCCUUAAUUUCCAUGGUUAAAUUACAUGUUUUCAUGAUGAAUUCAUGGCUGGUUGGAAUGGGUAUGGAGAGAGAAUGAUGUUAGAUUGAUUUGAUUCUAAGUUAUGUUAGUGUUUUUAGUUAGUUAAACAUGUUUANNNNNNNNNNNNNNNNNNNNNNNNNNNNNNNNNNNNNNNNNNNNNNNNNNNNNNNNNNNNNNNNNNNNNNNNNNNNNNNNNNNNNNNNNNNNNNNNNNNNNNNNNNNNNNNNNNNNNNNNNNNNNNNNNNNNNNNNNNNNNNNNNNNNNNNNNNNNNNNNNNNNNNNNNNNNNNNNNNNNNNNNNNNNNNNNNNNNNNNNNNNNNNNNNNNNNNNNNNNNNNNNNNNNNNNNNNNNNNNNNNNNNNNNNNNNNNNNNNNNNNNNNNNNNNNNNNNNNNNNNNNNNNNNNNNNNNNNNNNNNNNNNNNNNNNNNNNNNNNNNNNNNNNNNNNNNNNNNNNNNNNNNNNNNNNNNNNNNNNNNNNNNNNNNNNNNNNNNNNNNNNNNNNNNNNNNNNNNNNNNNNNNNNNNNNNNNNNNNNNNNNNNNNNNNNNNNNNNNNNNNNNNNNNNNNNNNNNNNNNNNNNNNNNNNNNNNNNNNNNNNNNNACCUGUGAGUAAACCUAUUAUCGUCUGAAUUAUCUAGAGUAGUUUUUAUUCAAUUUUGUGAUUUGUGAAAAUUAUUUUAAAUGAUGAAUUUCUUGUUUUAUGAGAAAAAUAUGAAUUUAUAAAAUAAAUGGAAUUAUAAAAUAAAUUGAAUUUUUUAUAAAUUGAUUUGAAAAUAGAAUGUUGGAUUUGAAAAUUUGAGUAAUUAAAGACCAUGUGAUUUAUUGUAAAUUAUGAUUUGAAUUAAAUGGCUUGUGAUAAAUUGGCAUGAUUGGCUGAAUUUAUACUUGUGUUAAAAAAUAUGAACUGUCUGUUUUGCCUUGAUAAAUUGGUUAGUAAUGUAAUUGCCAUGCUAUGCCAUUGAGAUUUGAUCAAUUGGUGGAUUAAAGAUUAGCUACUGCAGUGGCGGGGUUCCGUAGACCAGGCUAUUAAAAGGGCACGGUAAACUCUUUUAUAUUCUCACCUCGGUCGUAGAGGUGCGUAGGGUAUCUCCUGAGGUGGACUUUUUGAGUGCACUUCACGUUAACCACCACGUGAAGUGAGACUCAGCCAACGUCAAGGAACGACUAUUUUUUUUUAAAUAAAAACAAGUUUUAUGAUUAUAUAAAAUUUUUCACAACCUUGACGGACUCGGUUGGAUACCCCUUGUCCAGGUGUCCCCGAGUACAGGAUUUGGCAUGAGCCAAGUUUUGAAAAAUUCACGAGCCAUAUUGAUUAUUUGGGUGAAAUGAAUAUUCGUGUUGUGAAAAAUUUGCUGAAAUGAAUUAUUUUUAAUUGUCUCCCUUUACUCGCCUUUAGAUAGUUUAGAUGGUGUCUGUUUACUCACUGGGAUUAUGUAAUCAUAAUCUCACCCCUCUUCCUAUCCAUUUUUCAAGCUCAGGACAGUUUGUUGAUAGUUGAUUAAGACGAGAAUUAAUCUCGGAGUUGCAUCCUAGAAAGUAAGAGUUCGUAGCCUUACACCUUUUUGGUCAGUUAGGGGCCCACGUGUCACUGUAAAAGUAAUUUUAUACUUCAGUUAUCUGAUUUAAAGUAUGUAUGAACAUAUUUAUCUUUUACACCAUGUUUUUGGCGGGUUUCAGUAUUUUCGAAGAAAAAUGACGAAAAUGCCCCUAUGAGCUAGAAAAUAAUAUUUUGUUGUUUUGAUUUGAAAAUUACUUAUGAUUUCUUGAAAUGCGAGAUUUAAUAACUGUCGCUCACUGGGGAGAUGCGAAAGCUGAUGCUAAGCCUUGCGGGAUUUCGAUCGGCAUUCGGGGUAAUGAGUGCCUAUCGAGACGUCGCGACGGUUGUCACGGGCUCGAUGGUAGUUUCGGGUCGUGGCACUUAAUAAGGAAUUCAGCCCCUCUAAAUUUCACUUAUAUCGAUGUAGAAAACGAAGAGUUAGCAUUCAUGCCUAUAAAUAAAGGGAACCAUUAACCAUUUUAAUGAAAAAUAUCUAAAGCAAAAUCAAAUAAUUGUAAUGGCAUCCAAACGUUAAACAGUCGACACUAGGAAAGGGGCUGCCUCCGAGGAGAACAUGCCGGAGAUGCUUGCACUAAGGGAGCAAGUGGAGAAAAUGCAGCAAGCGAUGCAUGCCCUGGUGGACAAGCUGAUGCCCAGGACAUUUGACCUGAAGGGAGAUAUCCUGGCCAACAACAAGAUUAUAGCCGAAAUUUAUGAAAUAGUAGAUGAACUUAGGAAGAAAUGAACUACGGUUCAUUUUUUUUUUGUAUCAUCUCCUUUUAAUAAAUAAAAUUUAAAUUUUCAUUUCUCAAAAUUUCCUCUAUUUUCUUCGUUUGUUAUAUUAUGCUGAAUAACUUCGUGAGUGGAUAUUAGACAUUGCGUGA